Molecule: long non-coding RNA, 1072 nt
Filed under: Homo sapiens (human)
Lineage: Eukaryota; Metazoa; Chordata; Mammalia; Primates; Hominidae
Description: non-protein coding lnc-ETFBKMT-8:3
Source: RNAcentral
GGCGUCUGCUCCGGUUCAGCUGCAGGAGGUUUCUUGGGAGUUCAGCCCAGCGCGCAGCCCCGCCGCGACGCCGCGAGCCGAGAACUCUCCUGGGGCGAAGGGAGCGCUGAGAAGUCGCUACUCUUACUAAAAGGAUGCGUUGGAUGCUGGGCCAUACCCUUGGCGAUGCACACUGGAGACCCGCUCGGAUACGGACUCCAUUAACAUCAAACGGAGCGUGUUAGAGGAUCCGAGUUUACUGAGCACUUUCUAGGAAGCGUGCACUGAGCUACGUGCUUUCUAGGCCUUAGUUCAAUACUUAACCAUAUUCAUUAUAAUCCGGUGAAAUCGUAAUUAUUUAGCCUUAUUUUACAGAUGAGGACACUGCGUACCAACAAGUAACCUCACUAAGAAUUUCGUCAUGGAGGAGAAGGGAACCUGUAUUCAAAUUAGGAAGGAUCCUGAAGAAAGGGCACCUUUAGGUGGAAUUUUAUCUUUGGUUCUGCUGCAGAGUACUUGCUGCUUUUUAGUGCUCCCUCCACCCCCCUCAUUCUUCCUUGUAGAUUAGUCUGUUGUUUGUAUGCUGAGUUCCUUUUUUAAGCUCCUUGAAAGUUGGAACCCACUGCUGUUGCCUGUUCAGGAUGCUACACAUUGAAUCAACAUGGAUUUAUUAAGCGCUGAACGAGGGCUAGGGAUCGUGCUGGGUGCUGAGGAUUGAGUGGCGAACACUUGGGUCAGACAAGUAAAAGGGCAAUUAGAAUAACUGUUAAAUGCUUAGAUGGGGUUAGUUCUAUGGAAGCACCCAUGGGGGUGGGAUACAGAUCAGAGAGAAAAGGGUGGUCUGCAAAUAGUUUGGGAUGGCUACACUGGAGAGUGAUCAAGAGUGAGUGUAGGGCAGGGGUUGGCCGACUUUUUCCAUAAAGUGCUCUGAAAGUUGCAGAUUCCAGGAGAAGUAACUAUUGUCAGACCCAGACAAAUUGGAGCCUAGAGACCAGAAAGGAAGGAAACUCAUGCUUGUAUGUCUGAGAUAAGAACUGUCUCAAGGCCAGACGCGGUGGCUCACACCUGUAAUCCUAGUACUUUGGGAGGCCGA